Molecule: small nucleolar RNA, 85 nt
Filed under: Ananas comosus (pineapple)
Lineage: Eukaryota; Viridiplantae; Streptophyta; Magnoliopsida; Poales; Bromeliaceae
Source: RNAcentral
UUGGAUGAUGAAAUGCACUGGGCUCUGAGCAUGUCAUUGCAAAUAUGAUAGAAAUGCGUUUGCCCUAGAAAGCAUUAUCUGACUA